UUUCGGGCUUCGACCGGCGUACGGGUGCGUAACGCGUAUACGAUCUGCCUUUCACAUAGGGAUAGCCCGAAGAAAUUUGGAUUAAUACCUAAUAGUAUAUAGGUGUGGCAUCACAUUUAUAUUAAAGCUGAGGCGGUGAAAGAUGAGUAUGCGUUCUAUUAGCUAGUUGGAGAGGUAACGGCUCCCCAAGGCUACGAUAGAUAGGGGUUCUGAGAGGGAUAUCCCCCACACUGGUACUGAGAUACGGACCAGACUCCUACGGGAGGCAGCAGUGAGGAAUAUUGGACAAUGGUCGGAAGACUGAUCCAGCCAUGCCGCGUGCAGGAAGACGGCCUUAUGGGUUGUAAACUGCUUUUGCAGGGGAAGAAUAAGGACUACGAGUAGUUUGAUGACGGUACUCUGCGAAUAAGCAUCGGCUAACUCCGUGCCAGCAGCCGCGGUAAUACGGAGGAUGCGAGCGUUAUCCGGAAUCAUUGGGUUUAAAGGGUCCGUAGGCGGGCUAAUAAGUCAGAGGUGAAAGCGCUCAGCUCAACUGAGCAACUGCCUUUGAAACUGUUAGUCUUGAAUGGUUGUGAAGUAGUUGGAAUGUGUAGUGUAGCGGUGAAAUGCUUAGAUAUUACACAGAACACCGAUAGCGAAGGCAUAUUACUAACAAUUAAUUGACGCUGAUGGACGAAAGCGUGGGGAGCGAACAGGAUUAGAUACCCUGGUAGUCCACGCUGUAAACGAUGGAUACUAGCUGUUUGGUUGUAAGACUGAG
This 760-nucleotide ribosomal RNA is filed under the name uncultured Cytophaga sp. RNAcentral's name for it is "bacterial SSU rRNA". It matches the Rfam family "Bacterial small subunit ribosomal RNA", at positions 82 to 843 of the family's 1533-position model. The record is from RNAcentral. Lineage: Bacteria; Pseudomonadati; Bacteroidota; Cytophagia; Cytophagales; Cytophagaceae.